Molecule: ribosomal RNA, 507 nt
Filed under: uncultured bacterium
Lineage: Bacteria
Description: bacterial SSU rRNA
Rfam family: Bacterial small subunit ribosomal RNA
Source: RNAcentral
AUUGAACGCUGGCGGCAUGCCUUACACAUGCAAGUCGAACGGCAGCACGGGGGCAACCCUGGUGGCGAGUGGCGAACGGGUGAGUACUGCAUCGGAAUGUACCCAGUGGUGGGGGAUAACUAGUCGAAAGACUAGCUAAUACCGCAUACGCACUGAGGUGGAAAGCGGGGGAUCGCAAGACCUCGCGCUAUUGGAGCAGCCGAUGCCCGAUUAGGUAGUUGGUGGGGUAAAAGCCUACCAAGCCGACGAUCGGUAACUGGUCUGAGAGGACGACCAGUCACACUGGGACUGAGACACGGCCCAGACUCCUACGGGAGGCAGCAGUGGGGAAUUUUGGACAAUGGGGAAACCCUGAUCCAGCAAUGCCGCGUGUGUGAAGAAGGCCUUCGGGUUGUAAGCGACUUUUGGUCGGGACGGAAACGGCGCUGGUUAAUAACCUGGCGCUAAUGACGGUACCCGCAGAAUAAGACACCGGCUAACUACGUGCCAGCAGCCGCGGUAAAAGUC